CCUACGGGUGGCAGCAGUAGGGAAUAUUGCUCAAUGGGGGAAACCCUGAAGCAGCAACGCCGCGUGGAGGAUGAAGGUUUUCGGAUCGUAAACUCCUUUUGUUAGAGAAGAUCAUGCCGGUAUCUAAUCAAUAAUCACUUGCUAACUCCGUCCCAGCAGCCACGGUAAUACGGGGGGUGCAAGCGUUACUCGGAAUGACUGGGCGUAAAGAGCGCGUAGGCGGGAUAGCAAGUCAGAUGUGAAAUCCUAUGGCUUAACCAUAGAACUGCCUUUGAAACUGUUAUUCUAGAGUAUGGGAGAGGUAGGUGGAAUUCGGGGUGUAGGAGUAAAAUCCGUAGAGAUCAAGAGGAAUACUCAUUGCGAAGGCGACCUGCUAGAACAUAACUGACGCUGAUGCGCGAAAGCGUGGGGAGCAAACAGGAUUAGAUACCCCUGUAGUC
RNAcentral lists this ribosomal RNA (440 nucleotides) under uncultured bacterium. Its description in RNAcentral is "partial 16S ribosomal RNA". It matches the Rfam family "Bacterial small subunit ribosomal RNA", at positions 338 to 795 of the family's 1533-position model. The record is from RNAcentral.